CGCAGAAUCUGAAGAUGACGGCCAUGGGAUAUGGAAGGAGUUUCAGUAUUGAAACAUGUCUGCAGAAGCCAUGAUAGGUUGCUGAUUUAGAUAGAGUGAAUUCCAUGGGUUCAUGAAAGCUAUCAGCACCGAUUAGAGUUUCCUCAGUUUCAAAACCGUUAUUGCCCACAUUAAUGUACUGGAUGAUCUCAUUAAGGGACUGCAACCUGUUGUUCAACU
Long non-coding RNA from Telopea speciosissima, 219 nucleotides. RefSeq lists it as uncharacterized. The record is from RefSeq and is a predicted model, not a curated record. Lineage: Eukaryota; Viridiplantae; Streptophyta; Magnoliopsida; Proteales; Proteaceae. The transcript is spliced from 3 exons.